GGGAAUCAAUGGAGGUUUUGGAUUGGAAUCCUUAUGCCUUAGGUCAAAACGAAAAUUAUGAGUCAUGGGGUGUAUUAUGAGCACCGAAAUGAGGGCUUUACGUGAUGAACCAGUUUAGGAAGGCCAGACCUGUGAAUUGUCGGAGCAGAUCUGACCUUAGAAAGCAGUUUGAGCGGUUGCAUGGCAUGGACUCGCCGAGUCCGAUGAACAGACUCGGCGAGUAGCUUGAAGAUUGCCUUAGAGUGGUCCUGUCCGGGUUAUGGGUUGGAUCGGUGAGUCAGGGCGAGUUAGAGAGGGUUAACAGGUGGUCUGAGUCGAACUGGGACUCGCCGAGUUGUUCUUCAGACUCGGCGAGUUGAGUCGGGGUGGCCCCGCGAUUCUUCCAGGAGGAACUCGUCGAGUCAGGGGGGAUACUCGACGUGUAGAAAGGGAAUCUUAGAGAAUUGGUGAGAACGUGUAGACUCGCCGAGUCGCCCUAGCACUCGCCGAGUCCGGUCAAAGUUGACCGUUGACCGUUGACCGUUGACCAGAGUGGACCUGUGUUGACUUCUUAGGGAUAGUCAACAUUAGAGAUAUAAAGUGUUAACUAGGGACAUUAUGAUGAUAUAGGAGGAUUAGAGCUCGGAGAAUCGUGCACGAGGGAUUCCCAGGUUGUGAGAUAUCGAGACACGCGAGGUGAGUCUUCUCACUAUACUUUACCUUGAGUAGGUAACCAGAGUUAUAUGAUAGAGUAUUUGUAUGCUAUGUAUGUUAUGUGUUGCACUGCAUUCUUCUAUGUGAUUUAUGCUAUGCUUGUUUACAGAGUUAGAACCUGAGGGUUCACAGAGUAUGGGUGCACGGACCCACAGAGUUAUAGCCUCGAGUGGCUAAUAUGUGUUAUAUGGUAUUUUGGGGAACUCACUAAGCUUUAUGCUUACAGUGUUGGUGUUAUUUGUUUCAGGUACUAGUGAGGAUCGCGGGAAGGCGCCGGCCUGAUCAGUGCACACACGCGGGAUUUUUAUAUUAUGUGAUCUUGGGGUUUUUAUAUGUUAUGAAAUGAAUUACAAACAAUGAUGUUUUUAUGAAUAUNAUGAAGUUUGUCUUUAUUAAAUACGAAAAAAUUAUUUUAAAUUCUUGGCGUUACAAUUUGGUAUCAGAGCCUUGGUUUUAGGGAUUCGAGUACACCUUCGGGCGUAUUUGAACUCAACUGAGGAUUGAGAUGUAGUUUUCAAAAGAUUAAAAGAUUUUUGAAAAGACGCAGAGCAAGAGAUGUGUGUACGAUCAACUCGCGCCCGAACGGUGAUUUCCCAAAAUACCCUUACAUUAUGUGAUGUUAAUAUUGAUAUGAUGUAUCUGCAUGCUAGAGUAGGCUAGGCCUUGCUAUUAGAACUAGAUUGGCCUGAUUUGUGUUGCCUUAGCCUAGGGAGAGGUGAGCUGCUAUGAGAUGCUUGAGAGUGAGUAGGUAGCAGCAAGGGACUUAUGAGAGAUCUAUUAGAGAGUAAUCUACGCAUGAUAGAGUACUUGAGACCUGGAAUCCGAAGAGGAGGACUUGGAGUGUAUUCUGGUGCGGUGUGGACCGUAGUAUUGGGCCCGUACUACUGGAAGCACCGGAGCGGGGUGCAGCCCAAGUAAGAAUCUUUGGAAUGCCAAGAAUCAAGGAGGAAAGAGUUGACGAGUGUGAGUGUGUUCGUGGGGAUUCUAAAUUUAUUGUAUGUCGUAUUUCAGCGGUAGAUCAUGGUGAGGACACGUUUCACGUCCGAGAGUAGUGGUACCAAUGAAGAGGAUAUCCGCCGAAUCAUCCAGAAGGAGGUAGCUGCAGCCAUCAGGGCAGAGAUUCCGGAGAUGUUUGGGUCCAUAAAGAUUACACUGAUUGAGAUGUUCGACGAGCGUUAUGCCGCUCUUACUGAGGCUGCUGCUGCAGCGGCUACCGCAGCGGUGACUGCUGCAAGGCCGCAGGGUGGGGAUGCGUUACUAUUCCGGGAAUUCAGCAACACAAAACCACCAGAGUUCGAUGGGACCCAGGGUCCGGUGGCAGCGAUGAGGUGGAUAUCUGAUAUUGAGGGGUGCUUCUUCACUUGCUCGUCUCCUGAGCAUUUGAAGGUCCGAUUCGCGCUGAACCAGCUUCGCUUGGGAGCGAAGGACUGGUGGAAGUUUGCAACGGCGCAUUAUACGCCUGCUGAGCUUUCUGCGGUGACCUGGGAGAGGUUCACCACCAUGUUUCGAGAUGAGUACGUUCCCCAGGUGGAGAGGGAGCGUUUAGCACAGGAGUUUCUGACCCUCAAGCAGGGUACUGAGUCUGUUACAGCAAUCACGAGGAUGUUCCACGAGAGGGCGAUGUUCUGCCCUGAGCACGUGUCCACUGAGCAGGCACGUAUGAGCCGCUACUUGAGCAUCUUGAGGCGGGAUAUUCGGGAGUUCGCUGCGAACUCCUCGUACCGGACAUUUGCCGAGCUUCAGGCAAAUGCCCGGAAGAGGGAGAUCGAGCUUGAGACUCAGGCCAGGGAGGAGGCGGAGUCUCAGGGGAGGGAUCGGCGACCGGCACAGUCGCAGCCGGCCGCCAAGCGGGCCAAGCCUACUGAUCCCAGACCAGGGAGCCAGAAGGGCCGCACUUGCGGAAAGUGCGGCAAGGGGCAUGACGGAGUUUGCCGAGCGGGGUCUUGCUACAAAUGUGGCAAGGAGGGGCACAUGGCCAAGGACUGCCCCAAGGGGUUUGCAGUGUGCUUUCACUGCAACCAGACUGGACACCGGAAGGCUGAGUGUCCGCAGCUGCGCGGAGCACCUCAGGGAUCUGCUCCUGCCGCCAUCAGAGCUACAGAGAGUCGGCCUAUGAAGACCGAGGCACCGAGAGCUCGAGGGAGAGCCUUCCAGCUGACUGCGGAGGAAGUCCGCGCUGCGCCCGAUGUGGUGGCUGGUACGUUUCCUUUCAUGUAUUUAUAUUGAUGUUGAAAUAUUAUGCUUAUAUUAGGUUAUGCGUAGGUACCUUCCUUGUGAAUUCUGUGCCUGCUUUAGUGUUAUUUGACUCGGGUGCGAGUCGGUCUUUUGUAUCUUUGGCCUUUAGUCAGCAUAUCAGUGUUAGUCGUGAGGCAUUGAGUCGGCCUCUGAGAGUUUCCAUAGCUGAUGAUAGAGUGAUUUGUGCCACGGGGGUUUUCCGGGGAUGUGUGUUAGAGAUUUUCGGGGUUGAGUUUCCGAUUGACCUGAUUCCUAUCGCGAUGGGUGAUGUCUGUGUCAUUGUGGGCAUGGACUGGUUGAGCCGAUUCGGCGCAGUCAUCGACUGCGAGCGUCAGCUGGUGACUAUACGAGACCCUAGUGGGGGAGUUCUUUCGGUGUACGGCGAGGGUACGCGUUCGGGAUCAGCCUUUUGUUCGGCCGCUAGAGCGAGGCAGUGUCUACAGCAGGGCUGUAAGGGUUUUGUGGCGUAUGUGAUGGAUACGCGAGCGACUUCCGAGAGACCGAGUUCAGUUGAGGAGGUACCGGUGGUGCGUGAGUUUCCAGAUGUCUUUCCCGAGGAGCUGCCGGGAGUACCUCCUGUGAGGCAAGUGGAGUUUGGUAUUGAUUUGGUUCCGGGGGCCGCGCCUAUCGCUAAGGUGCCUUAUCGUCUUGCACCUCCAGAGAUGCAAGAGUUAUCCUCGCAGCUUCAGGAGUUGCUGGGGAAGGGAUUCAUUCGGCCGAGCAGCUCGCCGUGGGGAGCACCUAUUCUGUUCGUCAAGAAGAAAGAUGGUUCACACCGGAUGUGCAUUGAUUACCGGGAGUUGAACAAGUUGACGGUCAAGAACCGUUACCCAUUACCGAGGAUCGACGAUUUAUUUGAUCAGUUGCAGGGAGCAUCUUGGUUUUCCAAGAUCGACUUGAGGUCGGGAUAUCAUCAAGUGAAAGUGCGGGAUGAGGACGUACAGAAGACAGCAUUCAGGACGCGAUAUGGGCAUUAUGAGUUUGUGGUGAUGCCUUUUGGGCUCACCAACGCCCCGGCUGUAUUCAUGGAUCUCAUGAACAGGGUAUGUAGGCCGAUGUUGGAUCGGUCAGUGAUUGUAUUUAUCGAUGAUAUUUUGGUGUAUUCGAGAUCUAGAGAGCAGCAUGAGGAACAUUUGAGGGAGGUCCUUGGGGUUUUGAGAUCGGAGAAGCUUUAUGCAAAGUUCUCCAAGUGUGACUUCUGGUUGCGGGAGGUCCAAUUCCUAGGACAUGUUGUUAAUCAGGAAGGGAUAUUGGUCGAUCCGGCCAAGGUUGAGGCGGUGAUGAGUUGGGAGGUGCCGAAGUCACCCUCUGAGAUCAGGAGUUUCCUUGGAUUGGCAGGGUAUUAUCGGAGAUUUAUUAAGGACUUCUCCAGAAUUGCAGUGCCACUUACUAGAUUGACCCGAAAGGGGGUUGCAUUCUCAUGGGGACCCGAGCAGCAGACCUCUUUUGAGACACUUCGCCAGAGAUUGUGCGAAGCCCCGGUGUUAGCUCUCCCGGAAGGGAUGGAGGAUUUUGUAGUUUAUUGUGAUGCAUCUAUUUCGGGGUUGGGUGCAGUUCUGAUGCAAAGAGGGCAUGUAAUAGCAUAUGCAUCGAGGCAGCUGAAGCCUCACGAGACGAGAUAUCCCACGCAUGAUCUAGAGCUGGGGGCGGUAGUGUUCGCCCUCAAGAUUUGGCGUCAUUACUUGUAUGGGGUUCGUUGCACGAUAUACACGGACCAUAAGAGUUUGAAGUACUUGAUGGACCAGCCCAACCUAAACAUGCGUCAGAGGAGGUGGUUGGAUGUGGUCAAGGAUUAUGAUUGCGAGAUCCUGUACCACCCGGGCAAAGCUAAUGUGGUAGCAGAUGCGUUGAGCCGUAAGGGGGAGAGCACUCCACUACGAAAUGUAUGUUUGAGGUUGACCGUGAUAGCUCCAGUACUGGAUGCCAUUCGUGGGGCACAGUCUGAGGCUAUGCAACCGGAGAUGCAGAAGAGGGAACGGGUCGUUGGUUUGGUUUCAGAGUUCGUUACUGAUGUUCGAGGGUUGAUGACCUUUCAGGGUCGGAUUUGGGUACCGUUUGUGGGCGGUACGCGUACUACUUUGAUGGAGGAGGCACAUCGAUCGAAAUUCUCGAUCCAUCCCGGGGCUACAAAGAUGUAUUUGGAUUUGAGGAGAGAAUAUUGGUGGCCCUGCAUGAAGAGGGACGUCGCGUGGUUUGUCGAGAGGUGCUUGACCUGCCGUAGGGUUAAGGCCGAGCACCAGAGACCGCAUGGCAAGUUGCAGCCAUUGGAGGUUCCCGAGUGGAAGUGGGAACAGAUCACUAUGGAUUUCAUCACCAAAUUGCCGAGGACUGCCAGAGGAGUUGAUGCAAUUUGGGUGAUUGUAGACAGAUUGACGAAGAGCGCUCACUUCCUUGCCAUUAGUGAGAGUUCUUCAGCAGAGAAAUUGGCGGAGGUGUAUGUGAGAGAAGUAGUAUCUCGGCAUGGGGUGCCGAUCUCGAUUGUUUCAGAUCGUGAUGUGCGUUUCACUUCUAGGUUCUGGAAGAAAUUUCAUGAGGAGUUGGGUACUAGAUUGCAUUUUAGUACCGCAUAUCAUCCCCAGACAGACGGUCAGAGUGAGCGGACGAUUCAGACGCUCGAGGACAUGCUUCGGGCGUGUGUGUUGGAUUUUGGGGGUAGCUGGGAUGCGUAUUUGCCCUUGGCGGAGUUUUCCUACAACAACAGCCAUCAUUCGAGCAUCGGUAUGCCGCCCUUUGAGCUGUUGUAUGGUAGGAGGUGUCGGACCCCCAUUUGUUGGGGAGAGGUGGGACAGAGAGUGAUGGGCAGUACAGAGAUCGUGCUUCAGACGACAGAGCAGAUUCAGCAGGUUAGACAGAGGUUAUUGACCGCCCAGAGCCGACAGAAAAGUUAUGCAGACAGACGCCGGUCCGAGCUUGAGUUUCAGGUCGGCGACUUCGUACUCCUGAAGGUCUCUCCUUGGAAAGGAGUGAUUCGAUUCAGGAAGAGGGGCAAGUUGGGGCCCCGGUAUAUUGGGCCUUUUCGUGUGAUUGCGAGGGUAGGCCGGGUGGCCUACCGUUUGGAGUUGCCAACGGAAUUGAGACAGAUCCACGACACUUUUCAUGUGUCGCAAUUGAGAAAGUGUAUAGCCGAUGAGUCGGCAGUGGUUCCAUUAGAGGACAUUCAGGUGGAUGCGAGCCUGAAUUAUGCCGAGAGACCAGUGGCCAUCAGAGAUCGGAAGAUCAAGGUUCUGAGGAAUAAGGAGAUACCUCUGGUGUUAGUUCAGUGGCAGCACCGGAAGGGAUCGGAAAUGACCUGGGAGCCGGAGCGUGAGAUGCGGGAGCAGCAUCCGGAGCUAUUUUCAGAGUGAGACUUCGAGGGCGAAGUCUAGUCCUAGUGGGGGAGAGUUGUAACAGCCCGGAAUUCCAGGUAUUGUUAUAUUUAUGAUUUUGGGUGUUUUAAGAGGGGACUCGGCGAGUUGGAGCUCAGACUCGCCGAGUAGGAUCGCGGAUCUGGUCGCGGGUUCGCGACUGGACUCGGCGAGUCCGGAUAUGGACUCGGCGAGUCCGCGCUGUUUAGCGAAACCCUAACUUUCCAGGUUUGGGACAUAUAUAAGGGGCCUUAUGGCCGUCAUUGUUCACCCUAGUCCUUUGAGUGAAACCCUAAUUCGAUUGUGAGCAUCUGGAGCAAGGUAGAAGACCAUUAUUGAUCUUGGAAGUGUUAUUUUGCAAGGAAGAGGAGGCUUGGUUAAGGGAACAACAGGAGAAGCUAUAUUCUGAGAGUUGGGGACACAGAGCAACGUUAUUCAGGUAAUAUUUUCGAGUUGUUCCCUUCUAUGUUGAUGUGUAUAUGGAUUUAGGGUUUAUUGAACCCUUUUGUGGCUAGAUUGAGUGUUUCCUUAGUCCCCCAAGCGAUUGGAACCCUAUAUUGGGACCCUUGGAAGUCCAGAAUGUCCCAUGCCUGAGCAUUUCGGGAAUCAAUGGAGGUUUUGGAUUGGAAUCCUUAUGCCUUAGGUCAAAACGUCAAUUAUGAGUCAUGGGGUGUAUUAUGAGCACCGAAAUGAGGACUUUACGUGAUGAACCAGUCUAGGAAGGCCAGACCUAUGAAUUGCCGGAGCAGAUCUGACCUUAGAAAGCAGUUUGAGCGGUUGCAUGGCAUGGACUCGCCGAGUCCGAUGAACAGACUCGGCGAGUAGCUUGAAGAUUGCCUUAGAAUGGUCCUGUCCGGGUUAUGGGUUGGAUCGGUGAGUCAGGGCGAGUUAGAGAGGGUUAACAGGUGGUCUGAGUCGAACUGGGACUCGCCGAGUUGUUCUUCAGACUCGGCGAGUUGAGUCGGGGUGGCCCCGCGAUUCUUCCAGGAGGAACUCGUCGAGUCAGGGGGGAUACUCGACGUGUAGAAAGGGAAUCUUAGAGAGUUGGUGAGAACGUGUAGACUCGCCGAGUCGCCCUAGCACUCGCCGAGUCCGGUCAAAGUUGACCGUUGACCGUUGACCGUUGACCAGAGUGGACCUGUGUUGACUUCUUAGGAAUAUUCAACAUUAGAGAUAUAAAGUGUUAACUAGGGACAUUAUGAUGGUAUAGGAGGAUUAGAGCUCAGAGAAUCGGGCACGAGGGAUUCCCAGGUUGUGAGAUAUCGAGACACA
This 7544-nucleotide long non-coding RNA is filed under the name Lactuca sativa (garden lettuce). Its description in RNAcentral is "long non-coding RNA (LSAT_LNC000317)". Lineage: Eukaryota; Viridiplantae; Streptophyta; Magnoliopsida; Asterales; Asteraceae. The record is from RNAcentral.